Molecule: non-coding RNA, 77 nt
Organism: Podarcis lilfordi (Lilford's wall lizard)
Lineage: Eukaryota; Metazoa; Chordata; Lepidosauria; Squamata; Lacertidae
Source: the annotation of a GenBank genome assembly
GCCUGACGGGAUAGCUCAGUCAGUAGAGCAUGAAACUCUGCACCUCAGGGAUGUGGGUUCGAGCCCCACUUUGGGCA